This 53-nucleotide transfer RNA is filed under the name Brentisentis yangtzensis. RNAcentral's name for it is "tRNA-His". The record is from RNAcentral. Lineage: Eukaryota; Metazoa; Acanthocephala; Palaeacanthocephala; Echinorhynchida; Leptorhynchoididae.
UUAAGAUAAGUAUAUUUUGUACAUUCUAUUGUGGUUAGAAAGGGUCUCUUAAU